Molecule: unclassified non-coding RNA, 919 nt
Filed under: Hevea brasiliensis (rubber tree)
Lineage: Eukaryota; Viridiplantae; Streptophyta; Magnoliopsida; Malpighiales; Euphorbiaceae
Source: RNAcentral
GCAAGGAUAACAAGCAUCAAAAGAAUCACAACUUAGAACAGUUCAACCCAUUUUCCUUCUCGCCAAUCAAGCAGAAUAUAGGAUAAGAAGCAAGCAGUGACUAUAUGUAUACAUAAACUUGCAUCUACACAACCAUGGAGUUGUACUUGGUUUCUAUCGAGUCUUGAGCAUCCAAGAAGCUAUCAUUCCCAUUCAAUGGUUGAUGGAGGCUUUGAUGUGAUGUCUUGAACAACUCGGUUUACACCCCUUACACUAUUACAAAUUUUUCGAGCCACAUCAUCAAGGAACUUAUGUUCAAAAUAGUACCAAUCUGCAGUCAUUCCAUCUUGACUUGUAACAGCUCUUAAAGCAACAACAUGAGAAUGUGUUCUUUGAUCACCUUGAACUCCAACAGAUCUUACAGGCAAAAACACUGCAAAAGCUUGCCAUAUUGAAUCAUAGAGCCCCGCAUCCUUGAUGGAUUGGAUGAAAAUCUCAUCGACCUGACGCAGGAUAUCUAAAGCAUUGCCUUCAGUUACAUCACCCAAGACUCGUACUGCAAGGCCAGGACCAGGAAACGGAUGGCGCUUCAAAAAUGCCUCAGGGACAUUCAAGAUCCUUCCUAGUUGACGAACCUCAUCCUUAAAUAGAAGUUUAAGUGGUUCUAUGAGCUUCAAUUUCAUGUCCUUUGGAAGCCCUCCAACAUUAUGAUGGCUUUUGAUUGUGUGUGAGUGGUUUCUUCCAGAUCCAGGAGGCGGGCAAGAUUCAAUCACAUCUGGAUACAAGGUUCCUUGGACCAGGUAAGCAGGUUUCUUUCCCAACUUUUUCUCCAAAUCAUGGGCAAAAACAUCAAAAAUGCUAAUGAACUCCUUUCCAAUUAUCUUCCUUUUCGUCUCAGGAUCUAUUACACCUUUCAGCUUGCUAAGAAAUUGCUCUGAAG